RNAcentral lists this ribosomal RNA (572 nucleotides) under uncultured bacterium. Its description in RNAcentral is "partial 16S ribosomal RNA". It matches the Rfam family "Bacterial small subunit ribosomal RNA", at positions 355 to 920 of the family's 1533-position model. The record is from RNAcentral.
UGGGGAAUUUUGGACAAUGGGCGAAAGCCUGAUCCAGCAAUGCCGCGUGUGUGAAGAAGGCCUUCGGGUUGUAAAGCACUUUUGUCCGGAAAGAAAUCCUUGGCUCUAAUACAGUCGGGGGAUGACGGUACCGGAAGAAUAAGCACCGGCUAACUACGUGCCAGCAGCCGCGGUAAUACGUAGGGUGCAAGCGUUAAUCGGAAUUACUGGGCGUAAAGCGUGCGCAGGCGGUUUGCUAAGACCGAUNUGAAAUCCCCGGGCUCAACCUGGGAACUGCAUUGGUGACUGGCAGGCUAGAGUAUGGCAGAGGGGGGUAGAAUUCCACGUGUAGCAGUGAAAUGCGUAGAGAUGUGGAGGAAUACCGAUGGCGAAGGCAGCCCCUGGGCCAAUACUGACGCUCAUGCACGAAAGCGUGGGGAGCAAACAGGAUUNGAUACCCUGGUAGUCCACGCCCUAAAACGAUGUCAACUAGUUGUUGGGGAUUCAUUUCCUUAGUAACGUAGCUAACGCGUGAAGUUGACCGCCUGGGGAGUACGGUCGCAAGAUUAAAACUCAAAUGAAUUGACGGGGUC